Molecule: ribosomal RNA, 253 nt
Filed under: uncultured bacterium
Lineage: Bacteria
Description: partial 16S ribosomal RNA
Rfam family: Bacterial small subunit ribosomal RNA
Source: RNAcentral
GACGAAGGGGGCUAGCGUUGUUCGGAAUUACUGGGCGUAAAGCGCGUGUAAGCGGUUGUUCAAGUCAGGUGUGAAAGCCUUGAGCUCAACUCAAGAAAUGCACUUGAUACUGGAUGACUAGAGGACCGGAGAGGAUAGUGGAAUUCCCAGUGUAGUGGUGAAAUACGUAGAGAUUGGGAAGAACACCAGUGGCGAAGGCGGCUAUCUGGACGGUUUCUGACGCUAAGACGCGAAAGCGUGGGGAGCAAACAGG